This 1245-nucleotide ribosomal RNA is filed under the name metagenome. Its description in RNAcentral is "bacterial LSU rRNA". It matches the Rfam family "Bacterial large subunit ribosomal RNA", at positions 1564 to 2818 of the family's 2925-position model. The record is from RNAcentral.
UGAAUACGAGAUGCUACGGCAUUGAAGCAGUCUAUGUCAUACUUCCAAGAAAAGCUUGCACUGUCAUAAACAAAUAAUGCCUGUACCAUAACCGACACAGGUGGGUAGGUAGAGUAUACUGAGGGGCGCGAGAUAACUCUCUCUAAGGAACUCGGCAAAAUGACUCCGUAACUUCGGGAGAAGGAGUGCCUUAUUUAUUAAGGUUGCAAUAACAAGAUCCAAGCAACUGUUUACCAAAAACACAGGUCUCCGCUAAGUCGUAAGACGAUGUAUGGGGGCUGACGCCUGCCCAGUGCCAGAAGGUUAAAGAAGUUGGUUAGCACUCGCGAAGCUGAUAACUGAAGCCCUGGUGAACGGCGGCCGUAACUAUAACGGUCCUAAGGUAGCUAAAUUCCUUGUCGGGUAAGUUCCGACCCGCACGAAAGGCGUAAUGAUUUGGAUACUGUCUCAGAGAGGGGCUCGGUGAAAUAGACUUGUCUGUGAAGAUGCGGACUACCUGCACCAGGACAGAAAGACCCUAUGAAGCUUUACUGUAACUUGAGAUUGAAAUUGGACUUUAUUUGCGCAGUAUAGGUGGGAGGCUAUGAUACUAUUCUUGUGGGAAUAGUGGAGCCAUCAGUGAGAUACCACUCUUGUAAUGUUAGAUUUCUAACUUUGAAUCAUUAUCUGGUCAAAGAACAGUUUCAGGCGGGCAGUUUGACUGGGGCGGUCGCCUCCCAAACGGUAACGGAGGCGCACAAAGGUUUCCUCUGAACGUGUAGAAAUCGUAUCUAGAGUGUAAAGGCAUAAGGAAGCUUGACUGUGAGACCUACAAGUCGAGCAGGGACGAAAGUCGGUCUUAGUGAUCUGACGGUGCUGAGUGGAAAGGCCGUCACUCAACGGAUAAAAGUUACUCUAGGAUAACAGGCUGAUCUCCCCCAAGAGUUCACAUCGACGGGGAGGUUUGGCACCUCGAUGUCGGCUCAUCGCAUCCUGGGGCGGUAGUACGUCCCAAGGGUUGGGCUUUUCGCCCAUGAAAGCGGUACGCGAGCUGGGUUCAGAACGUCGUGAGACAGUUCGGUCCAUAUCCGGUGUAGGCGUUAGAAUAUUGAGAGGAUCCUUCUUUAGUACGAGAGGACCAAGAAGGACAUACCUAUGGUGUACCAGUUAUCGUGCCAACGGUAAACGCUGGGUAGCUAUGUAUGGAAUGGAUAACCGCUGAAAGCAUCUAAGUGGGAAGCCAACCUCAAGAUAAGUAUUCUCAUU